Brienomyrus brachyistius is the source of this 263-nucleotide long non-coding RNA. RefSeq lists it as uncharacterized. NCBI's taxonomy places the organism in Eukaryota, Metazoa, Chordata, Actinopteri, Osteoglossiformes, Mormyridae. The record is from RefSeq and is a predicted model, not a curated record. The transcript has 3 exons.
GUCUCUCAGCCUCCCAUCUGAAGCUGAGGUAGCCACCACAGCUGGUCUCUCAGCCUCCCAUCUGAAGCUGAGGUAGCCACCACAGCUGGUCUCUCAGCCUCCCAUCUGAAGCUGAGGUAGCCACCACAGCUGGUCUCUCAGCCUGCCUUCUGAAGCUGAGGUAGCCACCACAGCUGGUCUCUCAGCCUCCCAUCUGAAGCUGAGGUAGCCACCACAGCUGGUCUCUGAGCCUCCCAUCUGAAGCUGAGGUAGCCACCACAGCU